Molecule: unclassified non-coding RNA, 160 nt
Filed under: soil metagenome
Description: partial internal transcribed spacer 1
Source: RNAcentral
ACGAGUUUAUUGUUAGGGUUAGAGUUGAGCUGGUUAAUCUAAUUAAUAUUGUGCUUACUCUAAUCGAAUACAAGUCCACUCAUACGUAACCUACUGGGAACUUAUUCAUUACAAACAUGAUUAUUUGUUAUUGGAACGUUUGGAUUAUUAAAAAGUAUAA